Molecule: long non-coding RNA, 612 nt
Organism: Passer domesticus (house sparrow)
Lineage: Eukaryota; Metazoa; Chordata; Aves; Passeriformes; Passeridae
Exons: 2
Source: RefSeq, a predicted model, not a curated record
CAAUGGCCUCCUGGGCCAGAACCAGGUAAUCCUUCAGCAUGUGCUCCUGCUCCCGCCGCCAUUGCACCCGAGGGUCCUCUAUCUGAGUCGUUUCUUGGAGAGAAAACACAAGAAAGCAAGAUCAACAGAACGCAGGACUGACUGUUGAUCCACAAUGAAUUCCAAUGAGUUCUGCCAUGCUGAAUAGAAUAAUCCACAACAAAACUGUCAUGUAACUCUCCAACUUGUCUGCUGCUGAAGCUGCCCUGGUUCUGGCUCUUAAAAACAUCCACCCAAGAAUAUGCAUACACAGUUCUAAGAUACUGACUGUUAUACUUAUCUUUAUUGCAACUGCUUUAUAACAUUACUAAUAAAAUACCUCUAGUAUUUCACUGAUAAAACUUUCACAAAAUAUCAUUGCCACAUAACUGCAUUAUACUGCACCUGACAACAUGAAAGCAAUUACAGCUCUGCCCAUCCUCUUUGGCUGCCAAAUGGCUUUUAUUGCAAGGGGGAAAGAAAACCUGCUCACUCAGAUUCCAGAGGCAAGUAAAAAUAAAGUGUGAUUAAAUCACAGAUUUGUGAAAGCAUCUUAAAUGACAUUAUAGGAACAGAAUCUCAGAGAGGAGUAAA